AGGGGUGUAGUUCAGUUGGUAGAACGGCGGUCUCCAAAACCGCAUGUCGUGGGUUCAAGUCCUGUCGCCCCUGCCA
Molecule: transfer RNA, 76 nt
Filed under: Andreesenella acetica
Lineage: Bacteria; Bacillati; Bacillota; Clostridia; Peptostreptococcales; Natronincolaceae
Description: Clostridium aceticum tRNA-Trp
Rfam family: tRNA
About the family: Transfer RNA (tRNA) molecules are approximately 80 nucleotides in length. Their secondary structure includes four short double-helical elements and three loops (D, anti-codon, and T loops). Further hydrogen bonds mediate the characteristic L-shaped molecular structure. tRNAs have two regions of fundamental functional importance: the anti-codon, which is responsible for specific mRNA codon recognition, and the 3' end, to which the tRNAs corresponding amino acid is attached (by aminoacyl-tRNA synthetases). tRNAs cope with the degeneracy of the genetic code in two manners: having more than one tRNA (with a specific anti-codon) for a particular amino acid; and 'wobble' base-pairing, i.e. permitting non-standard base-pairing at the 3rd anti-codon position.
Source: RNAcentral